RNAcentral lists this ribosomal RNA (452 nucleotides) under Oidiodendron sp. GK-2010. Its description in RNAcentral is "eukaryotic LSU rRNA". The stretch from base 123 to 276 matches the Rfam family "5.8S ribosomal RNA". The record is from RNAcentral. Lineage: Eukaryota; Fungi; Ascomycota; Leotiomycetes; Myxotrichaceae.
ACCGUCGUUUCUUUGGCGGGCCGCCGGGCCCUGCUCGGCCGCCGGCCCCGGCUGGCGCGUGCCCGCCAGAGGCCCUUCAAACUCUGAAUGUUAGUGUCGUCUGAGUACUAUACAAUAGUUAAAACUUUCAACAACGGAUCUCUUGGUUCUGGCAUCGAUGAAGAACGCAGCGAAAUGCGAUAAGUAAUGCGAAUUGCAGAAUUCAGUGAGUCAUCGAAUCUUUGAACGCACAUUGCGCCCUGUGGUAUUCCGCAGGGCAUGCCUGUUCGAGCGUCAUUUCAACCCUCAAGCCCUGCUUGGUGUUGGGCCCUGCCCGUUGCGGCCGGCCCUAAAGUCAGUGGCGGCGCCGUCUGGCUCUAAGCGUAGUACAUCUCUCGCUCUAGGGCCCCGCGGUGGCUUGCCAGCAACCCCAACUCCUAUGGUUGACCUCGGAUCAGGUAGGAAUACCCGCU